Molecule: long non-coding RNA, 424 nt
Filed under: Coffea arabica (coffee)
Lineage: Eukaryota; Viridiplantae; Streptophyta; Magnoliopsida; Gentianales; Rubiaceae
Description: long non-coding RNA (CARA_LNC005627)
Source: RNAcentral
UUUGCAUUCAUAUAGUCAUAUCCAACGUGCGAACAUAUAUUGGGUAGAAAAUUAGGAAAGGUAAGGUUAAGUCGCGCAACUAGCCUUGGCUAGGUCAAAGGGGUGCCUUGGAUUCUAUCCUUGCCUUCCCCUUUGUCAAACGUGACCCCCGAACCUUUUUCUUUGGCUUACGUGGACUAGGAGUCGUUUUAAAAAGGGUUUUACUACUUUGUCUUUAAAAAACAUUUUUUUUUUUUUUUUGGGUGACUUGGUACACCCUAACUCUAUACCAAGUGGCGACUCCAUUUUUGAUACAAAAAACCCUUUUGAACUUCACUUGGCCAAAUCGUCGCAUUCUAAGUCCCAUGGCCUUUUACUUUUUCAUUUUGCACACGUUCACACAUUACACACCACACAUCAUCACUCAAUCGAAUCGAAAAGUGGG